This 492-nucleotide ribosomal RNA is filed under the name uncultured bacterium. RNAcentral's name for it is "partial 16S ribosomal RNA". It matches the Rfam family "Bacterial small subunit ribosomal RNA", at positions 30 to 507 of the family's 1533-position model. The record is from RNAcentral.
AUUGAACGCUGGCGGUAGGCCUAACACAUGCAAGUCGAGCGGCAGCACAGUACUUGCUCCUUCUUACAGCGGCGGACGGGUGGGUAAUUCCUAGGAACCUCCCUGGCUGCGUGGGCUAACGUGCGGACACGGGCAAUCAUACGCUAUUCCUCCUGACGGCGUACGUGGGAGAUCAUCGGACCUUCCGACAUUGCGCGAUUGAAUGAGGCGAUGUCGGAUUAGCUAGUUGGCGGGGUACAAGCCCACCAAGGCGACGAUCCGUAGCUGGUCUGAGAGGAUGAUCAGUCACACUGGAACUGAGACACGGUCCAGACUCCUACGGGAGGCAGCAGUGGGGAAUAUUGGACAAUGGGCGAAAGCCUGAUCCAGCCAUACCGCGUGGGUGAAGAAGGUCUUCGGGUUGUAAAGCACUUUUGGUGGGAAAGAAAAGCAGUAAGUUAAUACCCUGCUGUUUUGACGUUACCAAAAGAAUAAGCACCGGCUAACUUCGUG